RNAcentral lists this ribosomal RNA (448 nucleotides) under uncultured bacterium. Its description in RNAcentral is "bacterial SSU rRNA". It matches the Rfam family "Bacterial small subunit ribosomal RNA", at positions 470 to 917 of the family's 1533-position model. The record is from RNAcentral.
UGACGGUACCUGACUAAGAAGCCCCGGCUAACUACGUGCCAGCAGCCGCGGUAAUACGUAGGGGGCAAGCGUUAUCCGGAUUUACUGGGUGUAAAGGGAGCGUAGACGGUUUUGCAAGUCUGAAGUGAAAGCCCGGGGCUUAACCCCGGGACUGCUUUGGAAACUGUAGGACUAGAGUGCAGGAGAGGUAAGUGGAAUUCCUAGUGUAGCGGUGAAAUGCGUAGAUAUUAGGAGGAACACCAGUGGCGAAGGCGGCUUACUGGACUGUAACUGACGUUGAGGCUCGAAAGCGUGGGGAGCAAACAGGAUUAGAUACCCUGGUAGUCCACGCCGUAAACGAUGAUUACUAGGUGUUGGUGGGUAUGACCCUUCGGUGCCGCAGCAAACGCAAUAAGUAAUCCACCUGGGGAGUACGUUCGCAAGAAUGAAACUCAAAGGAAUUGACGGA